UAUAAUGUUAUUAUUUUCAUAAGUUGUUUUUAUGAAUCUCACCGAGGUAAGUGGACAGUAAAAAGUUUUAUUAUUGAUAAAUGAAUUUGUUAUGAAUUAUGCUCCAUUGGUCGUUUUUGUUUUCUACCAACCUUUACUACUGUGACAGUGAGAUAGUGUGACAUCUUUACUGGGGUAGUGUUGCUCAUUCCUUACUUAACCAUUUCAGAUCAGGA
Molecule: long non-coding RNA, 215 nt
Filed under: Carica papaya (papaya)
Lineage: Eukaryota; Viridiplantae; Streptophyta; Magnoliopsida; Brassicales; Caricaceae
Description: long non-coding RNA (CPAP_LNC006238)
Source: RNAcentral